This 550-nucleotide ribosomal RNA is filed under the name uncultured bacterium. Its description in RNAcentral is "bacterial SSU rRNA". It matches the Rfam family "Bacterial small subunit ribosomal RNA", at positions 355 to 896 of the family's 1533-position model. The record is from RNAcentral.
UAGGGAAUCUUCGGCAAUGGACGGAAGUCUGACCGAGCAACGCCGCGUGAGUGAAGAAGGUUUUCGGAUCGUAAGGCUCUGUUGUAAGAGAAGAACGAGUGUGAGAGUGGAAAGUUCACACUGUGACGGUAUCUUACCAGAAAGGGACGGCUAACUACGUGCCAGCAGCCGCGGUAAUACGUAGGUCCCGAGCGUUGUCCGGAUUUAUUGGGCGUAAAGCGAGCGCAGGCGGUUAGAUAAGUCUGAAGUUAAAGGCUGUGGCUUAACCAUAGUACGCUUUGGAAACUGUUUAACUUGAGUGCAAGAGGGGAGAGUGGAAUUCCAUGUGUAGCGGUGAAAUGCGUAGAUAUAUGGAGGAACACCGGUGGCGAAAGCGGCUCUCUGGCUUGUAACUGACGCUGAGGCUCGAAAGCGUGGGGAGCAAACAGGAUUAGAUACCCUGGUAGUCCACGCCGUAAACGAUGAGUGCUAGGUGUUAGACCCUUUCCGGGGUUUAGUGCCGUAGCUAACGCAUUAAGCACUCCGCCUGGGGAGUACGACCGCAAGGUUG